AGCAGCAGCCGCGGGAAUACGGAGGGUGCAAGCGUUAACCGGAUUUAUUGGGUUUAAAGGGUCCGUAGGCGGAUCUGUAAGUCAGUGGUGAAAUCUCACAGCUUAACUGUGAAACUGCCAUUGAUACUGCAGGUCUUGAGUAAAGUUGAAGUGGCUGGAAUAAGUAGUGUAGCGGUGAAAUGCAUAGAUAUUACUUAGAACACCAAUUGCGAAGGCAGGUCACUAAGAUUUAACUGACGCUGAUGGACGAAAGCGUGGGGAGCGAACAGGAUUAGAUACCCCUGUAGUCCCUGUCUCUUAUAC
This 303-nucleotide ribosomal RNA is filed under the name uncultured bacterium. RNAcentral's name for it is "partial 16S ribosomal RNA". It matches the Rfam family "Bacterial small subunit ribosomal RNA", at positions 507 to 807 of the family's 1533-position model. The record is from RNAcentral.